This 3106-nucleotide long non-coding RNA is filed under the name Physcomitrium patens. RNAcentral describes it as "long non-coding RNA (PPAT_LNC009598)". The record is from RNAcentral. Lineage: Eukaryota; Viridiplantae; Streptophyta; Bryopsida; Funariales; Funariaceae.
CAUGCAAAGAAAUAUCAUUAGGGCCUUAUUUUAGGGCAUCUUGAUAAGCUUGUUUUAGAGAAAUUAGGAUUUUUUUGGAAAAAUCCCAUAUUUAAAGAGGCUUGUUCAUCACACAUUUGGAGAUCAAUGUUUUGUCCUCACUUCAACUCUUAUUCAAUAGUAGGGAAGUGAUUUGCAACUCUUAAAAGUCUUGUAAGGAACUAUUUGAUUUAUGGUGAUUAGGUUCACAUUGUAUCAAUUUGUUGCCAAAGUGAUUGAGUUUGGGUUGGUUUCUUGACUUUGAAACAUAAGAUUUAGGUUUCUAGGUUGAAGAUGAGAUGGAAAUUCUUUGUGCAAGUAUGACCUACAGAUCUGUUUGCUAUUGACAUUUUUCCAAAAUUAUCAUCAAUUUCUUUGAUAUUCCAGUAUUGGCAAUCCCAUUAUCUUCAGGAACUCUGUUGGUUGUUGUUUAGCCGGCUCUGAAUUUGUAUAGACACAAGUUAGUUGUCAUUGCCUGAGUUUCAUAGGACAUUAUUUAUUUUUAUUUUACUUUUCUUGGAUUUUUUUAGUGCAGUGUGUACAAUGCACAUUGCUAAAGGGUAAUGCAGCUAUUGAGUUCUUCAGCAACAGAGCCAGUACAGGUAUGUGUUUUCACAAGAUUAAGACCUUGUUGCCAUGAGUGUACUUGUGUACCUUCUGGGAUUAUGUACAUGAUUCAUAUCCUAAGUACCUAAAUAUUAUGCAGAAGAAUUUAGACGCCCGUUGGAUGUAGACCCCUGGAGUGUUAUCUGUCUACUGAGCUGUUGCACUGAUGUAGCCUGGAUGGGGUGCCAUCCAGUGUGGGCUCCUUGAAGUAGGGCAAUGGAUUCUUGCUGGUCCCUGCAUGGGAUUGAUGCCCACAUGUGGUACCUCCUUGUGUGUGUCAUAAAUUCCUCCAUGAUGAGUGAGAGAGAGAUCCCCUUUAUUCACUCUAUAAAAGAGUGGUACAACAACCACUGAAGUCUGAAGUUGUAGAGUUUUUCAUGAAAUGAGGACAUCCUUUUGGUGGUAGUGGACACAAGCCUCAUUUCUAUGCAUGAUUUGAUGGGAUCUGAUCCUGUAACUGCUAAAAUGAUCAAUUGGAACUCUAUGUGGAUGUUUCUCCAUACUUGACCUCAGUGAGAAGAAGACCCACAGCUUAGCUGUUCUGAAUUUCCCAUUUAAGCUGCAUGCACUCAUAGUUGUGGACCCAGCUGUAGUUUCUUUUUCUUUUUCUUUUUGAGUCAGAAGAGAGCAUGAAUUCAGAGAAAUAAUUCUGCCAAUUCAGUUUAACUUACUUCACAUUCCUAUGCUUUUAUGACUCCCCCUCCCCAUACACACACUUACACCUCACAGUCCCAUUACAAAUGAGAAUAUUCUAUUUAAAAACUUUAAAAAAUAUUAACUACUGGCUCUUGUGACUUACAUGCUUGUGGGAUGAUGUCCUUAGGAUGAACAGUUCCAAGUCUGAUUUUGUCUGCAUUUGAAAAAGCUUCAACAAUUUGGCCCCCCCCCCAUGUAAACCUAUGAAGUGAACAAAAUGAAAGGGGGAUUGAGGAUGAUGAUGGUGAUGGAAUUGUUAUUAUUAUUAUUAUUAUUAUUUUAUUUCAUACAAAAAACAAAACAUGCUUGUUUCUGUUGUGCAUGUGUGCCUGUUUUGAGGUACUCUACUGUCUAGAUACAAAAUUUGGGGUCAAACUUCAGGUCUUUCAAGACCUUGCUUCUAAUAUUGUGGCAUUGUUGGAUUCCUCUGAAUAGUCUAACCACUUUUUUAGAAUAUUUAUCAAUAGACUAAUAGUUUUAAGACAUUAUCAUGCUUGGUAUUAUGAUUCACAGCAUAAUUUUACAACAAACGUGAUCUGAUUUUACUAAUAUGUUUUUGUACAGAAAUCUAUUAUAACUUUUACCAAAUUGUAUUAUUAUGCUUUAAAAAUAUUAACAUAUAUUACAUAUUACAUACUUUGAAUGUUUUCUUUGAUUCAAAAAGCAGUCACUCAUAAUUCUACCUGCAAUGUAAAAGCCACCUGUUUUUUGAACUGCAUCCCAUUAAGCCUCUCUUCAUUAUGUUGUAAAAUUUCACAAAUGAAUUAUAUGUGGAGUCCACUCCCAUAUUAAAGGAGAGAACAUUCUAUUGCAAAACAUUGGUUAAAUUAUCCCAUCACCAUGUUAACCUAAAUCUUCCAUUACUCAUUGUAUUUAAAAUUUAUGUUGCAUUUAAACAAAUAAAUAAAACACUAUUUUUUAAGAUUUGAUUAUGUGAGACAUUUAAUUAAAUAUAUGAAUAGAAACUUAAAGUUGCAUAUUGUAUGAGUAUUCAAACAUAUACAAUAUGGAAAGCAUGAAGAAAAGCACAACUUAUAUGUUUAUAGUUGAAUUGUUGUUGGAAACCUGGGAGUAAGUCUAAAUGUUCGAUAAAUUCUCAAAGUCUGUUUAUAAACUACAGUUUUUUUCUUCCACAAUGUCUAACAAAUAUUAGUGUUUUAUAAGUCAAACUUACAUAUUACACAAUGUUAUAAUUAAUUGCGAGAAUUGAAGCAAUGUUAAUAUGCACUGAUGUUUCUGGAAUAAGUUCAAAGUUUUGAAUAAUUUUAGAAAAGGUGCAAAACUAAACCAAAAGAUAUUGUGUAACUUCCUUGGAGUUAGUGUUGGUAAAAUAGACUGCAAAUCAUUAGGUCAAACUGGGUCAAAUUAUAAGCAGUUUUUCAGAAUAUCUGAUUAGAAUAUUUUGAAAUCUAAAAAACAAAUGGUGGGAGUCAUCAAAUGGAAUAUCAAAAUUUUAAUGUUGUUAAUUCAGUUACUAUCUUGUUAUUAUACAAACAUGAAAAGUAAGUAGUACCAUGUUUUCUAGAGGUAAAACUUCAAUUGAAAUGCUUCAAUAUCAUAUCUUGUGUCUUUUGUCAUGGAAGUCAUUAGAUGUGAUUGCAUAAUUACAAAUUAAUUUUAUUAUAAUUUUUUUUUAUGUAUGUGAGUGCAUUGUGCAUACAUGUAUACAUUCUACAGAUUAUUAGUAGAUAGUAAUCACAAUUUGUAUUAUCCUCACUCACAAAAUUUCAUUAAUUUAUUCCACAGGUGUUGCAAAAAAGUAGGUAAAAAGGGCAUCGAGGAGCCA